This 497-nucleotide ribosomal RNA is filed under the name uncultured bacterium. RNAcentral's name for it is "partial 16S ribosomal RNA". It matches the Rfam family "Bacterial small subunit ribosomal RNA", at positions 28 to 507 of the family's 1533-position model. The record is from RNAcentral.
GAUGAACGCUGGCGGCGUGCCUAAUACAUGCAAGUCGAGCGAACGGACGAGAAGCUUGCUUCUCUGAUGUUAGCGGCGGACGGGUGAGUAACACGUGGAUAACCUACCUGUAAGACUGGGAUAACUUCGGGAAACCGGAGCUGAUACCGGAUAAUAUUUUGAACCGCAUGGUUCAAAAGUGAAAGACGGUCUUGCUGUCACUUAUAGAUGGAUCCGCGCUGCAUUAGCUAGUUGGUAAGGUAACGGCUUACCAAGGCAACGAUGCAUAGCCGACCUGAGAGGGUGAUCGGCCACACUGGAACUGAGACACGGUCCAGACUCCUACGGGAGGCAGCAGUAGGGAAUCUUCCGCAAUGGGCGAAAGCCUGACGGAGCAACGCCGCGUGAGUGAUGAAGGUCUUCGGAUCGUAAAACUCUGUUAUUAGGGAAGAACAUAUGUGUAAGUAACUGUGCACAUCUUGACGGUACCUAAUCAGAAAGCCACGGCUAACUACGUG